RNAcentral lists this long non-coding RNA (209 nucleotides) under Mytilus galloprovincialis (Mediterranean mussel). Lineage: Eukaryota; Metazoa; Mollusca; Bivalvia; Mytilida; Mytilidae. The record is from RNAcentral.
GUGCGCCUGUCAGAUGAGGAACAUACAAAUAAGGUAAUAGGUAACAGGUGAAUAUACUAUUGGUAUCGGUAUCGGACUCAACCCGGAACUUCUUAAUUAUUGGCAAUAUUAAUUACGUGGAAAACAAAAGGGCCUGGAGUGGUGUAAUUUUUAAUCUACACCUUUGUACUAUAUUAGUUAUAUAUAAAGUUGAAUUCUUUGAUUCGUCG